UGCAUCAUGCAUUUAGUAUGGAAGCCUGAAAAAAAUUAGAAGCCUAAAAAACAUUUUCAAUCCCGCCAUACUCGAAGCCGCGCACGGCGCACCAUUACCAAAACCCCAAAAUACUAAACCACCACUCCCCAUUAUCCAAAUUCUCCCAACUGCACCUAAACCUCAAUUCUCAAUUCAAUUCGCAAUUUUAAAACUGGAAUUCGUCAUUCCCAAUUGUUAAUCUCCAUUAACAGAUUCAAUUCACCACUCGCAGCUCCAUCAAAUCCAUCAUGGGUGACCACUCGAAUUUCUCUUUAUUCCGCUUGCUUAAUCACCGGUGGCCGCCACGUCCACUGCAGAGCGGUUGUCGCGCCUCCCUCACUUAAGUUUUGUUAUCUUCUUUUCUUCAAUACAGUUUUGUAAUAUUUAGGUGCUUCGAAUUUACUAUUUUAUGAUUCUUGGGAAAAUUGUGUGGCUGCUUUAUUGCUUUAAGGUUCGAUAUAUACAAGUAUACAGUCGUGAAGUUGAGUACCUCUACAACUUAAAUUGAAAACUGAAUUUUGGUAUAAUUUUAGGGUUUUUUAUGCGAAUAGUUGGUUUAUUUGGUUUAGUAAUUUCUCAUGAUGAUUUUCCCAUUUUUCUAUUAUUUUGUUCCUGCUCUUAUUUGUAAUUCUGAGAGCUAAUUAGCUUAAUUUUGUUCAUGCACUAGAAAUUGCUCUAAAAAUCAUAAAUUAGUGAUGUUAUAAGGCAAUGGAAAAUUGUUUUUUGGUGGUGAGUGAAUUGACAAAAAUUGUUGGAAAGUUGUUGUGUGAUGGUGAGUGAAUCAACCAAAACACAAUUUUUUUAAAUGGUUUAUGUUAAUGAUUUGAACUGUAUGUUUUGAUGCAAUUGAAGCAUUUUUGCUUCCAUCAUCAUAAUACCAUUGUUUGAUGUUAAGCCAUUUUCCUACUUGUUGUUAGCUGAACACCACGUUUCAGACCAACUUUUGCAAUGGAAAUUCUUUUGCGUAACUUAACAAUGACAGCUACCAAACCCUCUAGUUGCCUACUUCUGCCUGAAGACAAAAUUAAACCUAAGUACAAUUACAAAAAAAACUAAGCAUCUAGCAGGUAGAAUCACAGAAAAGUUAACAUACCAAGAGCAUGAGGGGGAAGUGUUCUAUCAAUCCUUCUUAAUGUUGUAGACUCCUUUAUUCCAAGAGUACGUCUGACUUUGUAAGGAAGCAAUCUAUGGUGGCUGGCAUCCAGGAACUAAAUUUGGCAGCAAAUCAGCAUCUAUGGGUAAUGGGUUAUCGCCCGCCAAGUCCAUAUAUAUGGGCCCAAGAUGAGAUAAUAAUUUAUAUUUCGUCCUCAUACUUUACAUCCAUUAAAGAUUCAGGAUCUCUCUUGUCAUCACGAGUUUUUAUGAGGUUCUCUUCUUGAUAUCGUUUAUUACCAUAGGAAUCAUCCUUUCUUAUAUUUUGAUUAACCAACAAACAACUAGUAACCUGAUUUUUAUUUUUCUUUAAAGUCCUCCCAGGAACUUCAUAGCUCACUCCUCAAUAUCAUUUAACGAUUUAACUUGUUUUAUGUGUUUAUUGUUUAUUUCAGGUAUGGCUUGUGUUGUUGCUAGCACCUUGAAUUGCAUUGUCUAUACGUGGAUUAAUUAGUACUUUCCUAGGAUUCCUAUCAUUUAUUCAAGAAAUGAUUGACGAGCUAGAGAUAUGUGGGUGAAAUAUUUAAACAAUCAAACACGAGACGGUGGAGAUUGAAGACAAUGCUCAAGUUUCAAUUGUACAUAUUAUUUGAUUAUUUUGGAAUUUUAGUUUUAGUAGAUAGCACUAGAUUAUAGAAACUUUAUUUUUAAGAUAUUAAUUAUUUAAAGAAAUUUAUGCUUUGACAAGUGAAAUUGAUUUUGUAUAUAAAUUAAAUCUAGUAAUUUUUUUUUA
This is a long non-coding RNA of Beta vulgaris subsp. vulgaris (sugar beet), 1906 nucleotides long. RefSeq lists it as uncharacterized. The record is from RefSeq and is a predicted model, not a curated record. NCBI's taxonomy places the organism in Eukaryota, Viridiplantae, Streptophyta, Magnoliopsida, Caryophyllales, Amaranthaceae. The transcript has 2 exons.